Molecule: ribosomal RNA, 571 nt
Filed under: uncultured bacterium
Lineage: Bacteria
Description: partial 16S ribosomal RNA
Rfam family: Bacterial small subunit ribosomal RNA
Source: RNAcentral
UGGGGAAUUUUGGACAAUGGGCGAAAGCCUGAUCCAGCAAUGCCGCGUGUGUGAAGAAGGCCUUCGGGUUGUAAAGCACUUUUGUCCGGAAAGAAAUCCUUGGCUCUAAUACAGUCGGGGGAUGACGGUACCGGAAGAAUAAGCACCGGCUAACUACGUGCCAGCAGCCGCGGUAAUACGUAGGGUGCAAGCGUUAAUCGGAAUUACUGGGCGUAAAGCGUGCGCAGGCGGUUUGCUAAGACCGAUGUGAAAUCCCCGGGCUCAACCUGGGAACUGCAUUGGUGACUGGCAGGCUAGAGUAUGGCAGAGGGGGGUAGAAUUCCACGUGUAGCAGUGAAAAUGCGUAGAGAUGUGGAGGAAUACCGAUGGCGAAGGCAGCCCCCUGGGCCAAUACUGACGCUCAUGCACGAAAAGCGUGGGGGAGCAAAACAGGAUUAGAUACCCUGGUAGUCCACGCCCUAAAACGAUGUCAACUAGUUGUUGGGGAUUCAUUUCCUUAGUAACGUAGCUAACGCGUGAAGUUGACCGCCUGGGGAGUACGGUCGCAAAGAUUAAAAACUUAAAUGAAUUG